AACGAACGCUGGCGGCAUGCCUAACACAUGCAAGUCGAACGAGACCUUCGGGUCUAGUGGCUCACGGGUGCGUAACGCGUGGGAACCUGCCCUUAGGUACGGAAUAACUCCCCUAAGUGGGUGCUAAUACAGGGUAAUUUCUGCGGACCAAAGAUUUAUCGCCUUUGGAUGGGCCCGCGUUGGAUUAGCUAGUUGGUAGGGUAAAAGCCUACCAAGGCGACGAUCCAUAGCUGGUCUGAGAGGAUGCUCAGCCACACUGGGACUGAGACACGGCCCAGACUCCUACGGGAGGCAGCAGAGGGGAAUAUUGGACAAUGGGCGAAAGCCUGAUCCAGCAAUGCCGCGUGAGUGAUGAAGGUCUUAGAGUUGUAAAGCUCUUUAACCCGGGAUGAUAAUGACAGUACCGGGAGAAUAAGCACCGGCUAACUCCGUG
RNAcentral lists this ribosomal RNA (433 nucleotides) under uncultured bacterium. Its description in RNAcentral is "partial 16S ribosomal RNA". It matches the Rfam family "Bacterial small subunit ribosomal RNA", at positions 29 to 507 of the family's 1533-position model. The record is from RNAcentral.